GAUGAACGCUGGCGGCGUGCCUAAUACAUGCAAGUCGAGCGAACGGACGAGAAGCUUGCUUCUCUGAUGUUAGCGGCGGACGGGUGGGUAACACGUGGAUAACCUACCUAUAAGACUGGGAUAACUUCGGGAAACCGGAGCUAAUACCGGAUGAUAUUUGAACCGCAUGGUUCAAAAGUGAAAGACGGUCUUGCUGUCACUUAUAGAUGGAUCCGCGCUGCAUUAGCUAGUUGGUAAGGUAACGGCUUACCAAGGCAACGAUGCAUAGCCGACCUGAGAGGGUGAUCGGCCACACUGGAACUGAGACACGGUCCAGACUCCUACGGGAGGCAGCAGUAGGGAAUCUUCCGCAAUGGGCGAAAGCCUGACGGAGCAACGCCGCGUGAGUGAUGAAGGUCUUCGGAUCGUAAAACUCUGUUAUUAGGGAAGAACAUAUGUGUAAGUAACUGUGCACAUCUUGACGGUACCUAAUCAGAAAGCCACGGCUAACUACGUG
This 496-nucleotide ribosomal RNA is filed under the name uncultured bacterium. RNAcentral describes it as "partial 16S ribosomal RNA". It matches the Rfam family "Bacterial small subunit ribosomal RNA", at positions 28 to 507 of the family's 1533-position model. The record is from RNAcentral.